AUAUUACAGUAUUUAGGACUUUCAAACUGUUCCCUUUGUUCUGAAGAUAGCGAAGCAAGCAACCGUAGUUUCAUUUGUUUUCGUCUUUGCAAUUUUUUUUUCUAAUGGAGAUAUUUGAAUUUUAUUUUUAUUUUUAACGGACUCAGACAUUUCCCAACCUUAAUACAAUCAUUAAUGAUUUUAUCCAUGCUAUGUGCGACAAGGAGGGAACUUUGACAUGUUUUGUGAAAAUAGCAGCGUUGGAUCUAAACCUGUUAUAAUUCUUUUAUUCAUUAGAUAAAUGUAAUCUCCUUUUGUAUAUGAAGCUAGGCAGUUGUUUUUUUGUUGUUGUUGUUAUUUUAUAUUGUUUAACACGAUGUACGUUUAUAUAUAAACAUGGCAGUGUACCAAUACCUAUUAACCGCUGACCAACGGAAACAACAUAAACGCGAUAUUGCUCUGUUACACGCCGGAUCGCUACAGCUAUCUACCGAAACCAGAAGGUAUGUCAGGC
RNAcentral lists this long non-coding RNA (493 nucleotides) under Mytilus galloprovincialis (Mediterranean mussel). The record is from RNAcentral. Lineage: Eukaryota; Metazoa; Mollusca; Bivalvia; Mytilida; Mytilidae.